Molecule: ribosomal RNA, 253 nt
Filed under: uncultured bacterium
Lineage: Bacteria
Description: partial 16S ribosomal RNA
Rfam family: Bacterial small subunit ribosomal RNA
Source: RNAcentral
UACGAGGGGAGCGAGCGUUGUUCGGAUUGACUGGGCGUAAAGGGUGCGUAGGCGGUUCUUUAAGUGAGGUGUGAAAGCCCUGGGCUCAACCCAGGAAGUGCAUUUCAUACUGGAGGACUAGAGAUCAGAAGAGGAAACGGGAAUUCCUGGUGUAGAGGUGAAAUUCGUUGAUACCAGGAGGAACACCAAAGGCGAAGGCAGCUUACUGGACGACAACUGACGCUGAGGCACGAAAGCGUGGGUAGCGAAAGGG